CAAUAGCGUAUAUUAAAGUUGUUGCAGUUAAAAAGCUCGUAGUUGGAUUUCUGGUGGGAGCGAUCGGUCUGGCGCUUAGCGCGAGUACUUGCAUCGUCUCCGGCCAUCCUUGGGGAGAGUCUGUCUGGCAUUAGGUUGUCGGGCAGAGGAUCCUCAUCGUUUACUGUGAAAAAAUUAGAGUGUUCAAAGCAGGCUUAUGCCGUUGAAUAUAUUAGCAUGGAAUAAUAAGAUAGGACUUUGGUACUAUUUUGUUGGUUUGCGCACCAAAGUAAUGAUUAAUAGGGACAGUUGGGGGUAUUCGUAUUCCGUUGUCAGAGGUGAAAUUCAUGGAUUUACGGAAGACGAACUACUGCGAAAGCAUUUACCAAGGAUGUUUUCAUUAA
RNAcentral lists this ribosomal RNA (383 nucleotides) under uncultured eukaryote. RNAcentral describes it as "partial 18S ribosomal RNA". It matches the Rfam family "Eukaryotic small subunit ribosomal RNA", at positions 592 to 976 of the family's 1831-position model. The record is from RNAcentral.